RNAcentral lists this ribosomal RNA (502 nucleotides) under uncultured bacterium. RNAcentral's name for it is "partial 16S ribosomal RNA". It matches the Rfam family "Bacterial small subunit ribosomal RNA", at positions 29 to 523 of the family's 1533-position model. The record is from RNAcentral.
AUUGAACGCUGGCGGAAUGCUUUACACAUGCAAGUCGAACGGCAGCACGGGUGCUUGCACCUGGUGGCGAGUGGCGGACGGGUGAGUAAUGCAUCGGAACGUGCCGUAUAGUGGGGGAUAACGCAUCGAAAGGUGUGCUAAUACCGCAUACGCCCUGAGGGGGAAAGUGGGGGACCGUAAGGCCUCACGCUAUACGAGCGGCCGAUGUCCGAUUAGCUAGUUGGUGGGGUAAAGGCUCACCAAGGCGACGAUCGGUAGCUGGUCUGAGAGGACGACCAGGCACACGGGGACUGAGACACGGCCCAGACUCCUACGGGAGGCAGCAGUGGGGAAUUUUGGACAAUGGGGGCAACCCUGAUCCAGCCAUUCCGCGUGAGUGAAGAAGGCCUUCGGGUUGUAAAGCUCUUUUGUCAGGGAGGAAAUCCUUAGCGUUAAUACCGUUGGGGGAUGACAGUACCUGAAGAAUAAGGACCGGCUAACUACGUGCCAGCCGCCGCCGUAA